RNAcentral lists this ribosomal RNA (770 nucleotides) under uncultured archaeon. Its description in RNAcentral is "bacterial SSU rRNA". It matches the Rfam family "Archaeal small subunit ribosomal RNA", at positions 5 to 775 of the family's 1478-position model. The record is from RNAcentral.
CGGUUGAUCCUGCCGGAGGUCACUGCUAUCAGUGUUCGACUAAGCCAUGCAAGUCAAAUGUUCUUCGUGAACAUGGCGGACUGCUCAGUAACACGUGGAUAACCUGCCCUUAGGAUUGGCAUAACACCGGGAAACUGGUGAUAAUACCGAAUAGACCAUUUAUGCUGGAAUGCUUUUUGGUUCAAAGGCUUCGGCUGCCUAAGGAUGGAUCUGCGGCCUAUCAGGUAGUAGUGGGUGUAAUGUACCUACUAGCCUACGACGGGUACGGGUUGUGAGAGCAAGAGCCCGGAGAUGGAUUCUGAGACAUGAAUCCAGGCCCUACGGGGCGCAGCAGGCGCGAAAACUUUACAAUGCGGGAAACCGCGAUAAGGGGACACUGAGUGCCAGCAUAUUAUGUUGGCUGUCCACAUGUAUAAAAACCAUGUGUUAGCAAGGGCCGGGCAAGACCGGUGCCAGCCGCCGCGGUAACACCGGCGGCCCGAGUGGUGAUCACUUUUAUUGGGUCUAAAGGGUCCGUAGCCGGUUUGAUCAGUCUUCUGGGAAAUCUGACAGCUCAACUGUUAGGCUUUCAGGGGAUACUGUUAGACUUGGGACCGGGAGAGGUAAGAGGUACUACAGGGGUAGGAGUGAAAUCUUGUAAUCCCUGUGGGACCACCAGUGGCGAAGGCGUCUUACCAGAACGGGUCCGACGGUGAGGGACGAAAGCUGGGGGCACGAACCGGAUUAGAUACCCGGGUAGUCCCAGCCGUAAACGAUGUUCGCUAGGUGUC